CGAAGAGUUUGCUGAGCGUGAUGAACACUUACAAUGCCGGCGGAAGCCCCGCAGUCUCUACACCUUCGGUUGUGGCUCCAAAGCCGAUGCUUAUGGCUACUUCAUCUCACUCGUCUAAUGGGUCCGCUGCGGGUCUCCAUGUAUGUUGUUGCAGCACAUUAGGUUUGUUGGGAUUGUAGGGAUAUAAGUUAGUUGGUUAGUAGCGUAUGAGUGAAGCAAAGAAUACUUGUAUAAAUACCAAACGCCUCUCUUUGUAAUUCAUUCAUUGUUUAAGAAAUACAAUCUUUAGUCAUUCA
Long non-coding RNA from Malus domestica (apple), 296 nucleotides. RefSeq lists it as uncharacterized. The record is from RefSeq and is a predicted model, not a curated record. NCBI's taxonomy places the organism in Eukaryota, Viridiplantae, Streptophyta, Magnoliopsida, Rosales, Rosaceae.